UCAAAGAUAGAUUUUUUAUUGGUUUCAUACAAAUUUAAAUGGACUUUUAUGAUGAAGAUAAGUAUUAUUCUCUAUGCACAAGAAAAAAAAAUACUAAUUGAAAUUACAUUCCCCUUCUUUUACAAGAAGGUGCCUGAGCACAUAUUUCGUUAUGAGGAAGAAAGUUACACGACACAAUAUGGAGAAAACCCUCGAGAUGCAGAAUUACAAACACCACACUAACGAUGGUAAACGACCGAGCAGGAAUAAAGAAAGAAACCCACAACGCACCCCACCCAACUGAAAAGGACAUUACAAAGCCAUACGAAAACAACGAAAACAACUGAGAUACACUAUGACUACCCGCUACGACCGCCAAAAUAGCCCAAGCAUCAUAAGGCCAACAAUGGUACGUUGCGGAGGGGCAAACAAGACGACAUCUACAAGGAGAGCAUGGCGUCGAGGACGUCCAUUCAAAGGACUAAGUUUUCACCGGCCAACAAUGGUACGUUGCGGAGGGGCAAACAAGACGACAUCUACAAGGAGAGCAUGGCGUCGAUGACGUCCAUUCAAAGGACUAAGUUUUCACCGGCCAACAAUGGUACAUUGCGGAGGGGCAAACAAGAUGACAUCUACAAGGAGAGCAUGGCGUUGAGGACGUCCAUUCAAAGGACUAAGUUUUCACCGCACAAAGGCUGAGCGGUGGGGAGAACUCGACAACGCCCCCAACAGGGUAAGUGCGUCCUUCGACAUAGCCAUUAUCGGCACUAGCAAAAACUCGGAGAGUCUUCACACGUGACACCCACACCCC
RNAcentral lists this long non-coding RNA (790 nucleotides) under Setaria viridis. RNAcentral's name for it is "long non-coding RNA (SVIR_LNC004099)". Lineage: Eukaryota; Viridiplantae; Streptophyta; Magnoliopsida; Poales; Poaceae. The record is from RNAcentral.